UACGGGAGGCAGCAGUGGGGAAUAUUGCACAAUGGGCGAAAGCCUGAUGCAGCGACGCCGCGUGAGGGAUGACGGCCUUCGGGUUGUAAACCUCUUUCAGCAGGGAAGAAGCGAAAGUGACGGUACCUGCAGAAGAAGCGCCGGCUAACUACGUGCCAGCAGCCGCGGUAAUACGUAGGGCGCAAGCGUUGUCCGGAAUUAUUGGGCGUAAAGAGCUCGUAGGCGGCUUGUCACGUCGGAUGUGAAAGCCCGGGGCUUAACCCCGGGUCUGCAUUCGAUACGGGCUAGCUAGAGUGUGGUAGGGGAGAUCGGAAUUCCUGGUGUAGCGGUGAAAUGCGCAGAUAUCAGGAGGAACACCGGUGGCGAAGGCGGAUCUCUGGGCCAUUACUGACGCUGAGGAGCGAAAGCGUGGGGAGCGAACAGGAUUAGAUACCCUGGUAGUCCACGCCGUAAACGUUGGGAACUAGGUGUUGGCGACAUUCCACGUCGUCGGUGCCGCAGCUAACGCAUUAAGUUCCCCGCCUGGGGAGUACGGCCGCAAGGCUAAAACUCAAAGGAAUUGACGGGGGCCCG
Molecule: ribosomal RNA, 573 nt
Filed under: bacterium
Lineage: Bacteria
Description: bacterial SSU rRNA
Rfam family: Bacterial small subunit ribosomal RNA
Source: RNAcentral